UACGGAGGGCGCAAGCGUUGUCCGGAUUUAUUGGGCGUAAAGCGUCCGUAGGUGGUUGACCAAGUCUGCUGUCAAAGGGUGGGGCUUAACCUCAUAAAGGCAGUGGAAACUGGUGAGCUAGAGUGCGGUAGGGGUAAGGGGAAUUCCCAGUGUAGCGGUGAAAUGCGUAGAGAUUGGGAAGAACAUCGGUGGCGAAAGCGCCUUGCUGGGCCUGCACUGACACUGAGGGACGAAAGCUAGGGGAGCGAAAGGG
Molecule: ribosomal RNA, 253 nt
Filed under: uncultured bacterium
Lineage: Bacteria
Description: partial 16S ribosomal RNA
Rfam family: Bacterial small subunit ribosomal RNA
Source: RNAcentral